This 124-nucleotide small RNA is filed under the name Escherichia coli. Its description in RNAcentral is "partial RtT sRNA". It matches the Rfam family "RtT RNA", at positions 39 to 130 of the family's 130-position model. Rfam says of the family: This family represents a bacterial cis-regulatory element known as RtT RNA. The exact function of RtT is unknown although it is thought that it may be involved in changing the cellular response in relation to amino acid starvation. Lineage: Bacteria; Pseudomonadati; Pseudomonadota; Gammaproteobacteria; Enterobacterales; Enterobacteriaceae. RNAcentral also lists the same sequence under 1 other name. The record is from RNAcentral.
AGGUUCGAAUCCUGCACGACCCACCAGUUUUAGCAUCGAAGACAGAUGUUAAGCGUGUAGGAUAACGUUGCGUCAGCAACGGCCCGUAGGGCGAGCGAAGCGAGUCAUCCUGCACGACCCACCA